AAUAAUACAAAUAGAGAAGAGAAGGGGCUUCAAGACAGCAGACGAGAGGCAUCUGACAUUUGCCUCCUCCACAAAGAACCAAAAUAGCAUGUAGAUAAUCACACUUUGAAUAGAUCACCUAAGAGAGAACACUGGAAUGGAAUAGAGAAGUGACAGGAAAUACCUGAGGCAUGGAAGGAGAAGGAAGUCUGGCAGCCAGCUCAGCUGGGUGCCCAAAGAGGCUCUCCAGUGUAGGAAAAGGGUGAGGGAUCCCCAGGUAUCCACAUUCCCACUGCAAACUCCUGCAACAUUAGCCACAGGACAGAACCCUCAGACUAGCUAGCAUAAGGAGCUGCCUAGACAUAGCACGUUAGCAUUGCUCUAGAGAGGGAGCUCAUGCCGAGUACCACACACAGUCCCUGAAAUCCAAGCUGUGCAGCACAGCACCAUUUCAAAAUCCAGCCCCACCAGACUAGGCCUUCUGCUCUAGGGCUCAACAGCCCCUGCAUCUCCACAUCCCUGAAGCUGCACUGAUAUUCCCCUGCAUUCACCAGAAUGACUGCAGUGGCAUAGUAUCAGUUGGACUCAGUGGAAUGACAGGGUCGCCAACACUCUAGCACACACAGUAUCCUGCACCCCAAGGAUAGGGCACUGUAGCACACAAGGGAGGCUGCCCCCAGGACAAAGGGAGCCAAAGUGCUGCAAGUUCCCCAGAGCCUGAAACCUGCCUGCCUAAAGCUACUGCCAUUGAUAAAAACCCUGCCUCCAUCAGCAGCAGGGCCACAGCACAACUGCGUGGCUUUCCAGUGUGCCACACUGCUGCUGCCACCAGGGACCCAAGCGUGCGCCACUGGCAGCAACUCUCUGCCCCUCAGCAGCACAGCGGCCAUGCACUUGCACACACUCUGAGAACUAUUUCUGCUGUUGCCACCAAUGCCAGAGGUUGAAGUUUGUCCUCCCUAGAGCCUACGAGUUGCCUACCUGCAGCUGUGAGCACUGACAGCAACCCCAUCCCCACCAGCAAAAGGACAACAGUGCACUAGUGUGUGCCCUGAGGAUGGGCUCUCUCCACUCACCACAAUGCAGCUGCCACCAUCCAAGUGCUCUGCCAGGAAACCUAAGGGUCACCCCGAUCUGUCCACCACAAACUGCACCCAUGCAUACCACAGGACAGACUGAGGACAGGCUAUUUCCAAACACACCAUCCAAGGGCGUGGGGAUCAGCCCAACCCAUCCACCACUGCUGGCAUCUGUGCACUCCUCCUAGGGGCCUGAAGAUGGGCUCACUUAGCCUGCCACUAACAUCACAGCUGGUACUCGCUGGCACGUGCCCUGAGGGCCUGGGAACUGGCCCACCCAGCCCAACACAGCCAUUUCCAAAACAAGUGUGUGCCACCUGGAAACUCAAAAGUUGUCUUACCACCACUACAGACAUUGCUCAUGAUACACACACUGCCCAGGGGCACAACAACCCACCCGCCUGGCCCACCAAUGCAACUACCAGCACCCAACAAAGUUACCCAGAAGCCCAAGAAUAGGCUACUCGGACCUGUUAAUACCUGUACCCGUGUAUGGACACCCAGAGACCCAAGGACAGGCACACUCAGCUCACUAUUCCCACUACUGGGCCCUGAG
This 1614-nucleotide long non-coding RNA is filed under the name Homo sapiens (human). RNAcentral's name for it is "HSALNT0209844". Lineage: Eukaryota; Metazoa; Chordata; Mammalia; Primates; Hominidae. The record is from RNAcentral.